RNAcentral lists this ribosomal RNA (508 nucleotides) under uncultured bacterium. Its description in RNAcentral is "bacterial SSU rRNA". It matches the Rfam family "Bacterial small subunit ribosomal RNA", at positions 19 to 518 of the family's 1533-position model. The record is from RNAcentral.
AUGGCUCAGGAUGAACGCUAGCGACAGGCUAACACAUGCAAGUCGAGGGGCAGCAUAAAAGUAGCAAUACGUUGGUGGCGACCGGCGCACGGGUGAGUAACGCGUAUGCAACCUACCUAUCAGGAGGGGAAUAACCCGGCGAAAGUCGGACUAAUACCGCAUAAAACAGGGGCACCGCAUGGUGAUAUUUGUUAAAGAGAUUCGCUGAUAGAUGGGCAUGCGUUCCAUUAGGUAGUUGGUGAGGUAACGGCUCACCAAGCCGACGAUGGAUAGGGGAACUGAGAGGUUGGUCCCCCACACUGGUACUGAGACACGGACCAGACUCCUACGGGAGGCAGCAGUGAGGAAUAUUGGUCAAUGGGCGGGAGCCUGAACCAGCCAAGUCCGCGUGAAGGAAGAAGGAUCUAUGGUUCGUAAACUUCUUUUGCAGGGGAAUAAAGUGCAGGACGUGUCCUGUUUUGUAUGUACCCUGAGAAUAAGGAUCGGCUAACUCCGUGCCAGCCGCCGC